RNAcentral lists this small nuclear RNA (104 nucleotides) under Carlito syrichta (Philippine tarsier). Lineage: Eukaryota; Metazoa; Chordata; Mammalia; Primates; Tarsiidae. The record is from RNAcentral.
GUGCUUGCUCCUGCAGCACAAAUACUAAAAUUGGAACAAUACAGAGAUUAGCAUGGCCCCUGCACAAGGAUGACAUGCAAAUUCGUGAAGCGUUCCAUAUUUUU